AAUAAGAUUAUUUUUUAGUUUUUUUCAUAUAAUGUUUUGGCUCUUCGUCUUAUUUGAAAUUUUUUUAUGAUUAAUAUUUUUAUUUUUACUAGAUGAUAAAAUAUAAAUAGUAAUGACUAUUUUUUUAAGUUUUUUACAAAUCUUUCAAAUAAAACGAAUGGUCAAAUGUUGGUCACGGAAAACGAAAAAUAAAGUUAUU
RNAcentral lists this microRNA precursor (199 nucleotides) under Oryza brachyantha (malo sina). RNAcentral describes it as "MIR812 microRNA precursor family". It matches the Rfam family "MIR812 microRNA precursor family". Lineage: Eukaryota; Viridiplantae; Streptophyta; Magnoliopsida; Poales; Poaceae. The record is from Rfam by way of RNAcentral.